RNAcentral lists this ribosomal RNA (505 nucleotides) under uncultured Pelagibacterales bacterium. RNAcentral's name for it is "bacterial SSU rRNA". It matches the Rfam family "Bacterial small subunit ribosomal RNA", at positions 89 to 628 of the family's 1533-position model. The record is from RNAcentral. Lineage: Bacteria; Pseudomonadati; Pseudomonadota; Alphaproteobacteria; Candidatus Pelagibacterales.
UACUUAGUGGCAGACGGGUGAGUAACAUGUAGGUAUCUGCCCUUUGGCCUGGAAUAACACGAGGAAACUUGUGCUAAUACCGGAUAAGUCUUUACGGAGAAAGCUUUAUGCACCAUUGGAGGAGCCUGCACUAGAUUAGUUUGUUGGUGGGGUAAUGGCCUACCAAGACUGUGAUCUAUAGCUGAUUUGAGAGGAUGAUCAGCCACAUUGGGACUGAGACACGGCCCAAACUCCUACGGGAGGCGGCAGUGGGGAAUCUUGCACAAUGGAGGAAACUCUGAUGCAGCGAUGCCGCGUGAGUGAAGAAGGCCUUUGGGUUGUAAAGCUCUUUCGUCGGGGAAGAAAAUGACUGUACCCGAAUAAGAAGGUCCGGCUAACUUCGUGCCAGCAGCCGCGGUAAUACGAAGGGACCUAGCGUAGUUCGGAUUUACUGGGCUUAAAGAGUUCGUAGGUGGUUGAAAAAGUUGGUGGUGAAAUCCCAGAGCUUAACUCUGGAACUGCCAUC